This 65-nucleotide transfer RNA is filed under the name Leptopilina boulardi. RNAcentral describes it as "tRNA-Glu". Lineage: Eukaryota; Metazoa; Arthropoda; Insecta; Hymenoptera; Figitidae. The record is from RNAcentral.
AAAAAUAUAGUUUAAAAAAAACAUUAUAAUUUCAUUAUAAAAAUUUUAUUCUUUAAAUAUUUUUA